GGCCCAAUGGUCGAAAGGUUAAGACAUAACUCUUUCACAGUUAAAAUGGGGAUUCGAUUUCCUCUUGGGCUA
This 72-nucleotide transfer RNA is filed under the name Phlyctis boliviensis. Its description in RNAcentral is "tRNA-Glu". It matches the Rfam family "tRNA". Rfam says of the family: Transfer RNA (tRNA) molecules are approximately 80 nucleotides in length. The record is from RNAcentral. Lineage: Eukaryota; Fungi; Ascomycota; Lecanoromycetes; Phlyctidaceae.